RNAcentral lists this ribosomal RNA (417 nucleotides) under uncultured bacterium. RNAcentral's name for it is "bacterial SSU rRNA". It matches the Rfam family "Bacterial small subunit ribosomal RNA", at positions 360 to 793 of the family's 1533-position model. The record is from RNAcentral.
AAUCUUGCGCAAUGGGCGAAAGCCUGACGCAGCCAUGCCGCGUGAAUGAUGAAGGUCUUAGGAUUGUAAAUUCUUUCACCGGGGACGAUAAUGACGGUACCCGGAGAAGAAGCCCCCGGCUAACUUCGUGCCAGCAGCCGCGGUAAUACGAAGGGGGGCUAGCGUUGCUCGGAAUUACUGGGCGUAAAGGGCGCGUAGGCGGAUCGUUAAGUCAGAGGUGAAAUCCCAGGGCUCAACCCUGGAACUGCCUUUGAUACUGGCGAUCUUGAGUAUGAGAGAGGUAUGUGGAACUCCGAGUGUAGAGGUGAAAUUCGUAGAUAUUCGGAAGAACACCAGUGGCGAAGGCGACAUACUGGCUCAUUACUGACGCUGAGGCGCGAAAGCGUGGGGAGCAAACAGGAUUAGAUACCCUGGUAG